UACGAGGGGGGCAAGCGUUGUUCGGAAUUACUGGGCGUAAAGGGCGCGUAGGCGGCCUUCUAAGUCGAACGUGAAAUCCCCGGGCUCAACCCGGGAACUGCGUCCGAUACUGGAAGGCUUGAAUCCGGGAGAGGGAUGCGGAAUUCCAGGUGUAGCGGUGAAAUGCGUAGAUAUCUGGAGGAACACCGGUGGCGAAGGCGGCAUCCUGGACCGGCAUUGACGCUGAGGCGCGAAAGCCAGGGGAGCAAACUGG
RNAcentral lists this ribosomal RNA (253 nucleotides) under uncultured bacterium. Its description in RNAcentral is "partial 16S ribosomal RNA". It matches the Rfam family "Bacterial small subunit ribosomal RNA", at positions 524 to 776 of the family's 1533-position model. The record is from RNAcentral.